RNAcentral lists this ribosomal RNA (235 nucleotides) under uncultured Pseudomonadales bacterium. Its description in RNAcentral is "partial 16S ribosomal RNA". It matches the Rfam family "Bacterial small subunit ribosomal RNA", at positions 96 to 334 of the family's 1533-position model. The record is from RNAcentral. Lineage: Bacteria; Pseudomonadati; Pseudomonadota; Gammaproteobacteria; Pseudomonadales.
UGGCGGACGGGUGAGUAAUGUCUGGGAAACUGCCUGAUAGUGGGGGACAACGUUUCGAAAGGAACGCUAAUACCGCAUACGUCCUACGGGAGAAAGUGGGGGAUCUUCGGACCUCACGCUAUCAGAUGAGCCUAGGUCGGAUUAGCUAGUAGGUGGGGUAACGGCUCACCUAGGCGACGAUCCCUAGCUGGUCUGAGAGGAUGACCAGCCACACUGGAACUGAGACACGGUCCAG